CCAGGUUGGAGUGCAGUGCUGCAGUCACGUCUCACUGCAGCCUCAACCACCCAUGCUCAAGCGAUCCUCCCACCUCAGCCUCACAAGUAGGUAGGAGUACAGGUGUCUGCAUAACCCCAUUCUUCCUGGACGUGGUACAAGAACUCGGGACCUGCCAAACAGUGGGCGUGAAAAGAGCUGUAACACUUUCAUGGCUGGCUCACCUAGCUGUGAGUGGGAGCAAAAAGGGCUAUAAUGCAUUCGUGGAUGGCUCACAAAGCUGUGGGCAGUAAUACAUUCCCGUUCAUUGGCCUGUGGGAGUGUAGAGUGGCGACACUUCCAGGGGUCCAGACCUUGGGAUUUCCUGAGCCAGAGCUGUAACCCUAUAGCCCGCUCAUCCUCUGCCGGCGUGGCAUGGCUACCCCACAUGAGGGGAAGCAGCAGCAGAGCUGGAUCAGCCUGGCAGACACAGGCCGGAACAAGGCAGUGGGACUGCACAAGCGGAGAACAUGCCCCACUCUGUCAGCCAAGCUGUGGGGGGUAGAAACAAGAAAGCUGUGAGAGGUGACAGCGUGUUGGCAGUCCUCACAGCCCUUGCUUGCUCUCGGCGCCUCCUCUGCCUGGGCUCCCACUUUGGCGGCACUUGAGGAGCCCUUCAGCCCACCGCUGCACCCUGGGAGCCCCUUUCAGGGCUGGCCAAGGCCGGAGCCGGCUCCCUCGGCUUGCAGGGAGGUGUGGAGGGAGAGGCGCUAGCGGGAACCGGGGCUGCGCGCGGCCCUUGCGGGCCAGCUGGAGUUCCGGGUGGGCGUGGGCUUGGCGGGCCCCGCACUCGGAGCAGCCGGCCGGCCCUGCUGCCCCGGGCAGUGAGGGACUUACCACCCAGGCCAGCAGCUGCGGAGGGUGUACUGGGUCCCCCAGCACUUCCAGCCCACCGGCGGGGCGCUCGAUUUCUCGCUGGGCCUUAACUGCCGUCCCGCCGGGCAGGGCUCGGGACAGGCAGCCCGCCAUUCCUGAGCCUCCCACUCCCUCCGUGGGCUCCUGUGCGGCCUGAGCCUCCCCGAUGAGCGCCGCCGCCUGCUCCAGGGCGCCCAGUCCCAUCGACCACCCAAGGGCUGAGGAGUGCAGGCGCACGGCGAGGGACUGGCCGGCAGCUCCACCUGCAGCCCCGGUGCGGGAUCCACUGGGUGAAGCCAGCUGGGCUCCUGAGUCUGGUGGGCACGUGGAAAACCUUUAUGUCUAGCUCAGGGAUUGUAAAUACACCAAUCAGCACCCUGUGUCUAGCUCAGGGUUUGUGAAUGCACCAAUGGACACUUGUAUCUAGCUACUCUGGUGGGGCCUUGGAGAAACUUUGUGUGGACACUGUAUCUAGCUAAUCUGGUGGGGAUGUAGAGAACCUUUGUGUCUAGCUCACAGAUUGUAAACGCACCAAUCAGCGCCCUGUCAAAACAGACCACUCAGCUCUACCAAUCAGCAGUAUGUGGGUAGGGCAAGAUAAGAGAAUAAAAGCAAGCUGCCCGAGCCAGCAGUGGCAAGCUGCUGGGGUCCCCUUCCACACUGUGGAAGCUUUGUU
This 1549-nucleotide long non-coding RNA is filed under the name Homo sapiens (human). RNAcentral's name for it is "HSALNT0077458". The record is from RNAcentral. Lineage: Eukaryota; Metazoa; Chordata; Mammalia; Primates; Hominidae.